RNAcentral lists this non-coding RNA (31 nucleotides) under Mus musculus (house mouse). Lineage: Eukaryota; Metazoa; Chordata; Mammalia; Rodentia; Muridae. The record is from RNAcentral.
UGGCUAGUUGAUGUCUAAGGACCUUCCUACC